RNAcentral lists this transfer RNA (73 nucleotides) under Candidatus Phytoplasma australasiaticum subsp. ipomoeae. RNAcentral describes it as "tRNA-Lys". It matches the Rfam family "tRNA". Rfam says of the family: Transfer RNA (tRNA) molecules are approximately 80 nucleotides in length. The record is from RNAcentral. Lineage: Bacteria; Bacillati; Mycoplasmatota; Mollicutes; Acholeplasmatales; Acholeplasmataceae.
GUCCCGUUAGCUCAGUUGGUAGAGCACUUGACUUUUAAUCAAGGUGUCAAAGGUUCGAAUCCUUUACGGGACA